AAACAAUUACUAAAUGCAAAAAGAUAGGAUUCAGUUACACCUGCUCUCAUCCCUUAUAAUAAAAUGCAAAGUGUAUCGAAAUCCUGCGCAAACCGUUUCAAAUCAAAUUCUCAGUUACAAUGGCAUAAAAACAGAGACUAAAAUAAGAAAGGAGAAAAAUUCACCCCAAUAACCCGUAUCAAAUGAAAACCGCAAACCCAGUUGCAUUCAAGCCAGAGAAGAAAUCACCAUGGGAGAAAUAUAUAAAGGUGUUAGAGGCCGUACUAUUGAUUCAAAUCAGUUGUGGCUGAGAUGUGCCAAAUGAAAUAAUAGACUCUAAUUUCUUCGUCUAUAUGGUGAGUGCCGAAUUUGUUAUUAUUUUUUUAUGUCAAUUUGAAGUAUAGAUAUUUUUCCAGUAUUAGCUUUACUAUCAAGUGUCCAUAAAUUAUAGUAAUAACUUUAGCUUUUAGCUCACUAGCAUCUUCAUUAUCUGCAGUGAUGAACCGUUCUAUUCUGAGAACUAAAGCCAAUUUUACAAGCCUUGAUCCAUAACACUGUUUCGGCAAGGAACUGAAUAUACACGAGGAGAUGAAGAAUCUUUGAGAAGGCAUUACUGGAAUCACUCUACAAAACAUUGAUUUUGCUUCACCGGAGCAUCAGAAUAAUCUAAACAAAAAAUUGGAACGAUGGCUAAAUUCCAUUUCUUAUUUAUGGCUCCAAUAUGUGCUUCAAUUUGGCCCAUGCCCUCGGAAGGAGCAAUGGGAUUUUAUGCGUAUUCCAUUAUGUCAUUCUGUCGGAACACCAUCUUCUGCAGCUCUUUGGUCGUCCUCAAUGGCUCACCGUUAGAUGGCGAUCACAUACAUAUGUAAACAAGGUGGU
This is a long non-coding RNA of Lycium ferocissimum, 858 nucleotides long. RefSeq lists it as uncharacterized. NCBI's taxonomy places the organism in Eukaryota, Viridiplantae, Streptophyta, Magnoliopsida, Solanales, Solanaceae. The record is from RefSeq and is a predicted model, not a curated record. The transcript is spliced from 5 exons.